RNAcentral lists this long non-coding RNA (699 nucleotides) under Vigna radiata. RNAcentral describes it as "long non-coding RNA (VRAD_LNC004257)". Lineage: Eukaryota; Viridiplantae; Streptophyta; Magnoliopsida; Fabales; Fabaceae. The record is from RNAcentral.
GCACAAUGAGUUACAUACAAUCAAAUUUAUUACAUGAUCAAAACCCUAAAAUGAAUUGAAAAGAGGGAAAACACUUCCCAGAGGAAAAACACUAAAUUGAUCGGUGGGAUUUCGAGCUUUCAACGUCAGGAAUCCUUACGUGCUUCCUGAUUGUUGAGAAGAUGGUUCAGUGAAGAGAACAAGAAGAGAGAAGGUAGAGAGAGCAGGGAAAGAAGGAGAAUAAGCUUUUCUAGAGAAAAAAUGAAGUUUUGAGUUACUAAACCUGGUGUUCUGAAAAAUCUGGUCUUACAUCAAAUAUGAUAGUCUCUAUAUUUACAUGAAAGUCAUGUAAAAUGUAACAUCCCAAUAAAUAUAACCAAAGCUAUAAUUCAUUUUAGGAGUUAACAUGAACAAUAAAGGAGAACAGUAGUGAAUAAGCAUAGAAGUAUGAAAUAUACUUGGAAUUUAAAGCUGUAAAAUCAGUAAUAUUGAAUACAUCAUUUACAAAAUAGACCGAACGGUCUCGAAUGCAGUUCAUUGACCUAACGGCCAACAUCAAAAGGUUUCCUAUACUGAACGCUUUUACAAAACACUAGGCAAUGAAAACAACUAUACUAAGGACCGGACGGUCCUGCAUAACUUUCAGGCACGGCCUCCACGGGUUGCUCNGCCUGCAUAGCAUCCUCCAGAGUGUCUUCCAAAGUAGCUUCCAAGGUAUCC